Molecule: long non-coding RNA, 424 nt
Filed under: Setaria viridis
Lineage: Eukaryota; Viridiplantae; Streptophyta; Magnoliopsida; Poales; Poaceae
Description: long non-coding RNA (SVIR_LNC005035)
Source: RNAcentral
AUGUGACCUGUACGAGACCCUUGCCAUCACCCAGAGUGUCAUCUUUGUCAACACCCGCCGCAAGGUGGACUGGCUCACUGACAAGAUGAGGAGCAGGGACCACACUGUUUCUGCCACUCACGGUGACAUGGAUCAGAACACUAGGGACAUCAUCAUGAGGGAGUUCAGGUCUGGUUCAUCCCGUGUGCUCAUCACCACCGACCUGCUUGCCCGUGGUAUCGAUGUUCAGCAGGUGUCCUUGGUCAUCAACUACGAUCUCCCCACCCAGCCUGAGAACUACCUGCAUCGCAUUGGUCGUAGUGGUCGUUUCGGUAGGAAGGGUGUUGCCAUCAACUUUGUGACCCGUGAUGAUGAGAGGAUGCUGUUUGACAUACAGAGGUUCUACAACGUGGUGAUUGAGGAGCUGCCUGCCAACGUCGCUGAC